UCUCCGUAGGUGAACCUGCGGAGGGAUCAUUACAGAGUUCUUGCCCUCGCGGGUAGAUCUCCCACCCUGUGUUAUUGCUACCUUUGUUGCUUUGGCGCGCCGCCCUCGGCUACCUGCCCCGGCUGGUACGCGCCCGCCAGAGGACCCCAUACCCUGAACGCCAGUGUCGUCUGAGUAAUAUACAAUAGUUAAAACUUUCAACAACGGAUCUCUUGGUUCUG
Molecule: unclassified non-coding RNA, 221 nt
Filed under: plant metagenome
Description: partial contains small subunit ribosomal RNA, internal transcribed spacer 1, and 5.8S ribosomal RNA
Source: RNAcentral